This 240-nucleotide ribosomal RNA is filed under the name uncultured bacterium. RNAcentral describes it as "partial 16S ribosomal RNA". It matches the Rfam family "Bacterial small subunit ribosomal RNA", at positions 537 to 776 of the family's 1533-position model. The record is from RNAcentral.
AGCGUUGUUCGGAAUUACUGGGCGAAAAGGGCUCGUAGGCGGCCAACUAAGUCAGACGUGAAAUCCCUCAGCUUAACUGGGGAACUGCGUCUGAUACUGGAUGGCUUGGAUCCGGAAGAGGGAUGCGGAAUUCCAGGUGUAGCGGUGAAAUGCGUAGAUAUCGGGAGGAACACCUGUGGCGAAAGCGGCGCACUGGACCAUAACUGACGCUGAGGCGCGAAAGCUAGGGGAGCAAACGGG